GGUUUGGGAAACCAGAUCCUUUCCCGGCUUUUGUCGGGGACUGGUAUACAGGUGGUGCAUGGCUGUCGGUCAGCUCGUGUCGUGAGAUGUUGGGUUAAGUCCCGCAACGAGCGCAACCCUGCUCUUAGUUGCCAUCAGAUAAUGCUGGGGACUCUAAGAGGACUGCCGAGGACAACUCGGAGGAAGGUGGGAUGACGUCAAGUCAGUAUGUCCCUUACGUCCAGGGCUACACACGUGUUACAAUGGCCAGUACAAAGAGCAGCCAGCUCGCGAGAGUGAGCAAAUCUCAAAAAGCCAUCCUCAGUUCGGAUUGAAGUCUGCAACUCGACUUCAUGAAGUUGGAAUCGCUAGUAAUCGCGGAUCAGCAUGCCGCGGUGAAUUACCGUUCCGGCCUU
This 395-nucleotide ribosomal RNA is filed under the name uncultured Stenotrophomonas sp. RNAcentral describes it as "bacterial SSU rRNA". It matches the Rfam family "Bacterial small subunit ribosomal RNA", at positions 996 to 1382 of the family's 1533-position model. The record is from RNAcentral. Lineage: Bacteria; Pseudomonadati; Pseudomonadota; Gammaproteobacteria; Lysobacterales; Lysobacteraceae.